GAUGAACGCUGGCGGCGUGCCUAAUACAUGCAAGUCGAGCGAACAGACGAGAGUGCUUGCACUCUCUGACGUUAGCGGCGGACGGGUGAGUAACACGUGGGUAACCUACCUAUAAGACUGGGAUAACUUCGGGAAACCGGAGCUAAUACCGGAUAAUAUUUAGCUUCGCAUGAAGCAAUAGUGAAAGACGGUUCUGCUGUCACUUAUAGAUGGACCCGCGGUGUAUUAGCUAGUUGGUGAGGUAACGGCUCACCAAGGCAACGAUACAUAGCCGACCUGAGAGGGUGAUCGGCCACACUGGGACUGAGACACGGACCAGACUCCUACGGGAGGCUGCAGUAGGGAAUCUUCCGCAAUGGACGAAAGUCUGACGGAGCAAUGCCGCGUGAGUGAAGAAGGUUUUCGGAUCGUAAAACUCUGUUGUAAGGGAAGAACAAGUACGUUAGUAACUGAACGUACCUUGACGGUACCUUACCAGAAAGCCACGGCUAACUACGUG
Molecule: ribosomal RNA, 499 nt
Filed under: uncultured bacterium
Lineage: Bacteria
Description: partial 16S ribosomal RNA
Rfam family: Bacterial small subunit ribosomal RNA
Source: RNAcentral